Molecule: non-coding RNA, 408 nt
Organism: Paramisgurnus dabryanus
Lineage: Eukaryota; Metazoa; Chordata; Actinopteri; Cypriniformes; Cobitidae
Source: RefSeq, a predicted model, not a curated record
UCUAUAAAAUUACCAAUGUUCUUUCCCACUGUUGUAUUUGGAGUUUAGUUGAAUUUAAAUGUACUUGGUCUCUGGAUAUUGAAGAAGAAGAUGCAAAAGAUCAGGUUAAAACAACAAUGCAUAACAUUGAGGUAUGCAUAUUAUAAAAAUAAAACCCAGAAAAUAAAAUGUUAAAAUAACCUUGAGAUAUGCAUGUUACAGAUUGUAUGAAAAUAAAACCCAGGAAUGGUUAAAAUGAUCUUCAGGUAUGCAUGUUAUAGAUUGUAUGAAAAUAAACCCAGAAAAUGUAAAAAUAACCUUCUUCAGGUAUGCAUAUUGGGUCAUGUGAAAAUAAAAGAAAAUAAAAACCAGAAAGUGUUAAAUAACAUUCAGGUAUGCAUAUAUUGGGUCAUGUAAAAAAAAAAAUAA